UUUAUACUCCCUCAGUCUCAAAAUUGUUGUCUUAGGUUUAUUUAGAAACGGAUAUAUCUAAAUACUAAAAUGUGACUAGAUACAUUUAUAUCUAGACAAAUCUAAGACAGGAAUUUUAGGACGGAGGGAGUAUAAA
Molecule: non-coding RNA, 136 nt
Organism: Hordeum vulgare subsp. vulgare (domesticated barley)
Lineage: Eukaryota; Viridiplantae; Streptophyta; Magnoliopsida; Poales; Poaceae
Source: Rfam